Long non-coding RNA from Stegostoma tigrinum, 500 nucleotides. RefSeq lists it as uncharacterized. NCBI's taxonomy places the organism in Eukaryota, Metazoa, Chordata, Chondrichthyes, Orectolobiformes, Stegostomatidae. The record is from RefSeq and is a predicted model, not a curated record. The transcript is spliced from 4 exons.
CUUUCUCUCCCUCGCGUUGAGACCGACCAGCGCACAGGUGCGGUCCGCUCUCCUGCCCGGCGGCGCGGCUUCAAGCCCGUGACUGCGCGUGUGCAUUGACUAUGUUGGAUGAAGACAUCACUGGCCAGCACUUAUUGUCCAUCCCGGAGUGCAGCUAAAAAUCAACUGCAUUGCUGUAGGUCUGGAGUCACUUGUAGACAAGAGCAGGUACUCUAUUAAAACUGGACAACUCUGUGUGGAGAGUCGUUGCAAAUAGAACUGCAUCAUCUUUGCUUUGUGACCCAGAUUGCCAAGACUUGAGGGUUCAUUACUCGGCCCAUGAACAGCAGUGAUUGAGUAUGAUGCUCGAGGAUGAAGAACAGGAAUGGGCGAUUGGCCAUAAAUUUGGCUUGUGAAGAUAAAGGCAUGAAGCCAGAAAGAGAGACAGCAGCAACUUCACUUCCUUCCUCAUCCACCUUCAGUGUAACAUGUUGCUUCAGCUGUGGGAAAUAAAAAAGUAA